This 495-nucleotide ribosomal RNA is filed under the name uncultured Bacillota bacterium. RNAcentral describes it as "bacterial SSU rRNA". It matches the Rfam family "Bacterial small subunit ribosomal RNA", at positions 382 to 896 of the family's 1533-position model. The record is from RNAcentral. Lineage: Bacteria; Bacillati; Bacillota.
UCUGAUGCAGCGAUGCGCGUGAGGGAAGAAGGUUCUCGGAUUGUAAACCUCUGUCUUCAGGGCGAAAAUGACGGUACCUGAGGAGGAAGCUCCGGCUAACUACGUGCCAGCAGCCGCGGUAAUACGUAGGGAGCGAGCGUUGUCCGGAAUUACUGGGUGUAAAGGGAGCGUAGGCGGGGCUUUAAGUCAGGUGUGAAAUAUAUGGGCUCAACCCAUAGACUGCACUUGAAACUGAGGCUCUUGAGUGAAGUAGAGGCAGGCGGAAUUCCUAGUGUAGCGGUGAAAUGCGUAGAUAUUAGGAGGAACAUCAGUGGCGAAGGCGGCCUGCUGGGCUUUUACUGACGCUGAGGCUCGAAAGCGUGGGGAGCAAACAGGAUUAGAUACCCUGGUAGUCCACGCCGUAAACGAUGAUUACUAGGUGUGGGGGGACUGACCCCUUCCGUGCCGCAGUUAACACAAUAAGUAAUCCACCUGGGGAGUACGGCCGCAAGGUUG